GUGCUGGCUUCAGCGGCACAUAUGCUAAAAAUGGGAAUGAUACAGAGAAGAUCGGCAUGGCUCCUGCACAAAGAUGAUACGCAAAUUUGUGAUGCAUCCCAUAUUUUU
Manis pentadactyla (Chinese pangolin) is the source of this 108-nucleotide small nuclear RNA. Lineage: Eukaryota; Metazoa; Chordata; Mammalia; Pholidota; Manidae. The record is from RefSeq and is a predicted model, not a curated record.